GACACGGUAGUGUAGUGGGCAGCACAUGACUUGAAUAACCCUGUACACUACCCCUCGUGUAGGUGGCUGCUCAGGUAACAACACUAUAGGCGCGGGUUCAAUUCCCGCUCGAGUCA
Molecule: non-coding RNA, 116 nt
Organism: Apodospora peruviana
Lineage: Eukaryota; Fungi; Ascomycota; Sordariomycetes; Sordariales; Lasiosphaeriaceae
Source: the annotation of a GenBank genome assembly